GAAUUCGAUUAUUGUCGGAUGCGAAUUUUUCGAAAGCGUAUUUUCUGCGAUAAAAUGAGUGGAUUAAUAACAAAAAGAUCUAAAAGAAAUGAAACCCGUGUUUUUCGAUCAUGAUAAAUCUGAGGAAGUUUAUAAAAAUCCAAAAUACAUCUUUAAUCAAAUAAAACUAUUUUAGAUGCGUUAACAAUUUAAAUGAAAUUUGAAAGACUAGAAGCAAUUAUCUGCGACAGAAUUUUUCUUUACCAGUGAUUAAAAAUGGAAUAGUCAUUUUUGUGUAAUAUUCAUUAAUGUGAAAUAUGUUUGUGGUGUUUUAACAUCGAAAGUUUUCGCGGUUUUCAAGAAAUAUAUUAUUAUAACAAACUUAUUGUGAAUAAUUUAACGUAAAUAAUUUAGAAUUAAUUAUUAAUUUAAAGAAAACUUUUAUUAAAACAUAAACACCAAGUAUUUUCUUUUCAAUCAUCAUUGAAACAAAUUUAACUGAUUGUACAAUAAACAGAAAACGGAAAAUAUAGAUAAGGUUUGAAGUAAGAUAUAUAAUAGUUGACUAUUUAAUAGAAAAUAAACAAGUAAUGAAAGUUAAUUAUCAUGUAAAUAGCUACAUCAAUUAAAAUUUUACUAUUUAUCAAUCUACUCGAAUAUGAAAAUAUAGACUAUAUAACAUUAAACGUUCUUGUAAUGCUAUGAAAACUUGUGAAUAGUUAUUAAAAAUGUUUAUAAAGCAAUCUAAAAAUAUGCGUACAUUUGUUAUAAAAUGUUUAAAUAAUGUAAAGUAAUU
Long non-coding RNA from Centruroides sculpturatus (bark scorpion), 775 nucleotides. RefSeq lists it as uncharacterized. The transcript is spliced from 3 exons. The record is from RefSeq and is a predicted model, not a curated record. Lineage: Eukaryota; Metazoa; Arthropoda; Arachnida; Scorpiones; Buthidae.